Panthera pardus (leopard) is the source of this 119-nucleotide ribosomal RNA. The record is from Ensembl. Lineage: Eukaryota; Metazoa; Chordata; Mammalia; Carnivora; Felidae.
AAGCUGUGUGACUUUCCCCUGAACGCACCUGAUUCUGUCUGGUCUCUGAAACUAAGCAGGGUCAGGCCUGCUUAGUACUUGGAUGAAAGACCACUUGGGAACACAAGUUGUAUAACUUU